This 318-nucleotide ribosomal RNA is filed under the name uncultured eukaryote. RNAcentral's name for it is "partial 18S ribosomal RNA". It matches the Rfam family "Eukaryotic small subunit ribosomal RNA", at positions 1470 to 1796 of the family's 1831-position model. The record is from RNAcentral.
UCCUUAGAUGUCCUGGGCCGCACGCGUGCUACACUGAUGCAUACAGCGAGUACUUUCCAGCUCCGCGAGGCAGCUGGUAAUCAGCAAUAUGCAUCGUGCUGGGGAUAGAUCUUUGGAAUUAUAGAUCUUGAACGAGGAAUUCCUAGUAAGCGCAAGUCAUUAGCUUGCGCUGAUUAAGUCCCUGCCCUUUGUACACACCGCCCGUCGCUCCUACCGAUUUCGAGUGAUUCGGUGAACCUUUUGGACAGCGUCUGUCCUCGUGUCAGAUGCUGAAAGUCAAGUAAACCAUAUCACUUAGAGGAAGGAGAAGUCGUAACA